GACGAACGCUGGCGGCGUGCUUAACACAUGCAAGUCGAACGGAAAGGCCCUGCUUUUGUGGGGUGCUCGAGUGGCGAACGGGUGAGUAACACGUGAGUAACCUGCCCUUGACUUUGGGAUAACUUCAGGAAACUGGGGCUAAUACCGGAUAGGAGCUCCUGCUGCAUGGUGGGGGUUGGAAAGUUUCGGCGGUUGGGGAUGGACUCGCGGCUUAUCAGCUUGUUGGUGGGGUAGUGGCUUACCAAGGCUUUGACGGGUAGCCGGCCUGAGAGGGUGACCGGCCACAUUGGGCCUAAGAUACGGCCCAGACUCCUACGGGAGGCAGCAGUGGGGAAUAUUGCACAAUGGGCGGGAGCCUGAUACAGCAACGCCGCGUGCGGGAUGACGGCCUUCGGGUUGUAAACCGCUUUCGCCUGUGACGAAGCGUGAGUGACGGUAAUGGGUAAAGAAGCACCGGCUAACUACGUG
RNAcentral lists this ribosomal RNA (468 nucleotides) under uncultured bacterium. RNAcentral describes it as "partial 16S ribosomal RNA". It matches the Rfam family "Bacterial small subunit ribosomal RNA", at positions 28 to 507 of the family's 1533-position model. The record is from RNAcentral.